Molecule: small RNA, 554 nt
Filed under: Pan troglodytes (chimpanzee)
Lineage: Eukaryota; Metazoa; Chordata; Mammalia; Primates; Hominidae
Description: processed transcript
Source: RNAcentral
AAAUCGGCUGCGUUCCUCUCGGAACGCGCCGCAGAAGGGGUCCUGGUGACGAGUCCCGCGUUCUCUCCUUGAAUCCACUCGCCAGCCCGCCGCCCUCUGCCGCCGCACCCUGCACACCCGCCCCUCUCCUGUGCCAGGAACUUGCUACUACCAGCACCAUGCCCUACCAAUAUCCAGCACUGACCCCGGAGCAGAAGAAGGAGCUGUCUGACAUCGCUCACCGCAUCGUGGCACCUGGCAAGGGCAUCCUGGCUGCAGAUGAGUCCACUGGGAGCAUUGCCAAGCGGCUGCAGUCCAUUGGCACCGAGAACACCGAGGAGAACCGGCGCUUCUACCGCCAGCUGCUGCUGACAGCUGACGACCGCGUGAACCCCUGCAUUGGGGGUGUCAUCCUCUUCCAUGAGACACUCUACCAGAAGGCGGAUGAUGGGCGUCCCUUCCCCCAAGUUAUCAAAUCCAAGGGCGGUGUUGUGGGCAUCAAGGUAAGGGGAGGGCCUCAGGACGUGAGGCGCCCGCCACCACCCAGCUAAUUUUUUUUUGUAUUUUUAGUAGAG